This 230-nucleotide unclassified non-coding RNA is filed under the name uncultured fungus. RNAcentral's name for it is "sequence contains ITS1". The record is from RNAcentral. Lineage: Eukaryota; Fungi.
UUAACUUAUUAAAAAUACGCUCAGAUUUCCCACUAGAAUCAAGAAUUUGGUUUGGUCCACCGGCGGGCUCCCGGGAAGGCUCCGAGGUUUGCACGCUCAGACGGCUCCGGGGUUUCCACCCCGUGCCUACCCCUCCCGGUGGCUCGCGCCGAGGCAACAUGAUAAAUACACAAUGGUUUUGGGAGUUUUUCAACUCUGUAAUGAUCCCUCCGCUGGUUCACCAACGGAGA